UUCAGAAUCUUGCCCAAUGGACGAAAGUCUGAGGCAGCCAUGCCGCGUGUGUGAAGAAGGCCCUCGGGUCGUAAAGCACUGUCAGGAGGGACGAUAGUGACGGUACCUCCUAAGGAAGCCACGGCUAAUUACGUGCCAGCAGCCGCGGUAAUACGUAAGUGGCGAGCGUUAUCCGGAUUUACUGGGCAUAAAGCGUUCGUAGGCGGCGUAGUAAGUUGGAUUUGAAAGACCGGGGCUCAACUCCGGAACCGGAUCCAAAACUACUAUGCUAGAGCGUAUCAGAGGGCAGUGGAAUUCCCGGUGUAGCGGUAAUAUGCGUAGAUAUCGGGAGGAACACCAGUGGCGAAGGCGACUGCCUGGGGUACUGCUGACGCUGAGGAACGAAAGCUAGGGGAGCGAACG
Molecule: ribosomal RNA, 402 nt
Filed under: uncultured bacterium
Lineage: Bacteria
Description: bacterial SSU rRNA
Rfam family: Bacterial small subunit ribosomal RNA
Source: RNAcentral